UUCUUUCUCUUGCGUUCUCUGCAAUUUUUAUUUUUUAUGCUCAGUUCGAUUAAAGUCGUCGACUUUGGUUACAAGCGUCGAUACCCAGAUGGACUAGUUCAACAUACUUUUGUGGGUAGCUGUCUCUUUCUUUAAAGUUACUAUUUUGAACUUUUGGAGCUUCUGGGUUGUGCACUGCAUGUAUUCGGUAAAAUGCGUGAACGAGAUUUUUAAGUCUCAAAGUCGGCAGUGGGACCAAUAGUUGAAGCCACCGAUGAAAAGUCAUACCUUCACUAAAUAGCGAACAUUUGCAACUCUUCUGGUAAGCUUGUCCUAAGUUAGUUUGUGGCUCUUUAUCAUCCAAAGUUUGUUGCUUUAGAUUUCAUAUCAGGGCAAUAAUUUUGCCAAUCAAUUGGAAAGUCCUUGUGUUGUUUUUUUUGUGAUGGGGUACUGGUUACAGAGAAAGUUGUUGACUUUAGUUAUGGUUAAGGGUCAGAGAUUGGAAUAUUCAAAGUUAUCUGCUGAAAACGAAUCAGUAACUUUCCAUUCUCUUUCCAUUCGUCUUGCACAUUCUGAAUUGACUGGCAGCAAGCGAAUAAAGAUUAUCACUAUCAGCAUUCUCAGCCUCUCUGUUUGCUUGAUUUUGGUGCUUGUUGCAUAGGGUUGUUGGAGAUACAGAUUAAAACAAAAUGGUUCAAGUCUUGGAGCUAAAGUUAAUGUAGAAGGCGCUUGGACGAGUGAUUUGCAAUCACAAGAUGUCUCAGGUUUAAAUUUCUUUGAAAUUCAGGACCUACAAACCGCCACGAAUAAUUUUGGUGUGUUAAAUAGACUCGCUCAGGGUGGUUUUGGUACAGUUUAUAAGGGGAAGCUUCAGGAAGGAAAGGAAAUAGCUGUAAAACGUCUUUCUAGCAGCUCUGUACAGGGAACAGAUGAGUUCAUGAAAGAGAUGCUUCGGCUUUUGGGAUGCUGCAUCGAUGGGAAAGAAAAGCUAUUGGUCUAUGAAUACAUGGUGAACAAAAGCCUUGAUAUAUUUAUACUCUAUUUGAAGACAAAAACUUGAGAUUGAUUGGCCUACGAAAUUCAAUAUCAUACAAGGAAUUGCUCGUGGACUUCUCUAUCUCCACCGUGACUCGUUCCUCAGAGUUGUACACCAGGAUCUGAAGGUCAGCAAUAUUCUUUUGGAUGAGAAUAUGAACCCAAAAAUAUCAGAUUUUGGAUUAGCUCGGAUGUCUCAUGGAAGUCAACAUCAAGUCAGCACUGGCAGUGUCGUAGGCGCUAUAGGGUACCUGUCUCCCGAGUAUGCUUGGACCGGGAAAUUUUCUGAGAAAUCCGAUAUAUACAGCUUCGUAGUUCUAAUGCUAGAAAUCAUCACCGGGAAGGAGAUUUCGAGCUUCCGCUAUGGCAAAGAUAGCUAAAACCUUCUUUCAUAGAACAUAUCUAUCUUAAACACUUGCAUGGGUCAUAGAUUUAUUCUUAACUCUUACGUUUUUCGCGGAUUUGUUGUAACAGGCAUGGGACUCUUGGAGUGAAACCGGGGAGUGAACCUACUGGAUGAAGAUCAUGCUGCUUCUGAUUCAGUUUAUUCAGCUGAAACAGGAAGAUGUGUUCAUAAUGGUCUGCUAUGUGUUCAGCAUCAAGCUAUUGAUAGACCAAACAUCAAACAAGUAAUGUCAUUAAUGCUGACUUCAACAACGGAUCUUCCUAAGCCAACAGAACCAAUGAUUGUAACGUACAUAAGCGAUGAGGAUUCUUCUUUGUCUCAACGAUCUAUAAUGAUCUAAUUUUUAGGCCACAAACUACAUUGUAUACGCAUAAAACGGACAUAAAUUAUUCGAUUCAUUUGUAAAAUAUUACAAGAAAUGACAAAAAGAUGUUUUUGGUA
Molecule: long non-coding RNA, 1861 nt
Organism: Capsella rubella
Lineage: Eukaryota; Viridiplantae; Streptophyta; Magnoliopsida; Brassicales; Brassicaceae
Exons: 6
Source: RefSeq, a predicted model, not a curated record